GUGUACGUACAAGCAGUGGGAGCCUUCGUAAGAGGGUGACUGCGUACCUUUUGUAUAAUGGGUCAGCGACUUAUAUUCUGUAGCAAGGUUAACCGUAUAGGGGAGCCGAAGGGAAACCGAGUCUUAACCGGGCGUUAAGUUGCAGGGUAUAGACCCGAAACCCGGUGAUCUAGCCAUGGGCAGGUUGAAGGUUGGGUAACACUAACUGGAGGACCGAACCGACUAAUGUUGAAAAAUUAGCGGAUGACCUGUGGCU
This 256-nucleotide ribosomal RNA is filed under the name Cronobacter sakazakii. RNAcentral's name for it is "partial 23S ribosomal RNA". It matches the Rfam family "Bacterial large subunit ribosomal RNA", at positions 558 to 816 of the family's 2925-position model. Lineage: Bacteria; Pseudomonadati; Pseudomonadota; Gammaproteobacteria; Enterobacterales; Enterobacteriaceae. The record is from RNAcentral.